CAUUUUACUUAGUUUAACAGCAGUUAAUGAAACAAAUAAAGCGAUUUUUAAAGUCUCUAGUUAAUGUAAAAGUAAAUCAAGUUUAUUUAAAAACACAAAAACUACCCCUUUAUUUAUUAGUGCGGUAAAUUAAAUCAAUUUACUUUUAAUGGUGGCUUUGGAAUAGUGGAAGAAACAAAUUCCUUUGGAGGUACUCAAUCCAGGAAGGCAACGCAAAGUAUAUAGUACUUAUUGGAAAUGAUUUCUACGUGCACGAUGCAAGAGGAGCCAGAAAGAAACCAGGAAAUCUCUGAUGUCUGCAAGUCAUUUCAUCAAAGUCAAGAUGAUUGCUCCAUUAACGUAACAGAAUUCUCCACAGUUCCAGAAGAAAAUGCCAGUGUCGACUUUGAAUAUGUCAAAUCUCGCAUAUCUACCGUAUGUCUCGUUGACAAAAGUUACAGUGAAGAUGACUCACAGGGAUUGUACAGUUUUGGAGUAAUAGCUGUGUUACUUUGUGUAUUUUUACUCGCUGCACCUCUCUCUAUUCUGAUAAUAUACGGUUGGGAUCAUCACGUAAUAAAGUUUUCAUGGUGAUAUUUUGUUUGAAAUUCACUAAAAAUGUAUUCAUCCAA
Long non-coding RNA from Homalodisca vitripennis (glassy-winged sharpshooter), 611 nucleotides. RefSeq lists it as uncharacterized. The record is from RefSeq and is a predicted model, not a curated record. The transcript has 2 exons. NCBI's taxonomy places the organism in Eukaryota, Metazoa, Arthropoda, Insecta, Hemiptera, Cicadellidae.